Molecule: long non-coding RNA, 313 nt
Organism: Sander lucioperca (pikeperch)
Lineage: Eukaryota; Metazoa; Chordata; Actinopteri; Perciformes; Percidae
Exons: 3
Source: RefSeq, a predicted model, not a curated record
GAUAGAUGGAUAACCAGUGCAUUCGUUAAAUUGGAAUUACAUUGAUCCUAAGCAAGAGCCAAAUAAAACGAUAACAUAAAGUCAAAUACAUUUGUUUAAUCAGUCAAGCAUCGGAGUCACAAUACACAGAUCUGUGGGAUCACAAAGCACGCAGAGACUAAGUUUCCCUAGCAACAGACAAAAAUCCGGAGCCGGUUCACGUAUCUCUACACUGUCAGACCUUGUGAGCCCCGAUCUGUUCUUCCCCUCAUCUCUUAUACUUUCUUUCUUGGGCCCCCCUCUUCUUCUCCAGCACAGGGAUUGUUAUUUUCAC